RNAcentral lists this long non-coding RNA (241 nucleotides) under Elaeis guineensis (African oil palm). RNAcentral's name for it is "long non-coding RNA (EGUI_LNC006364)". The record is from RNAcentral. Lineage: Eukaryota; Viridiplantae; Streptophyta; Magnoliopsida; Arecales; Arecaceae.
GUACAGAUACGGUUUGUAAGGGUGGUAAGCAGAGUUCAUACAGCAUCUCUCCGAAGAUUUCGCUUGUUGUUCGGCCUUAUCGAGAUCAACGUAUCUAUACUAUCUCUAUCUGGUGACCAACCCUUGCAAUAAACAUUAAUAGAUCACAGCUAAAUCCCAUCUAUUCUCCUUGCCCAACAUAGAUCAAAGUUUUUAUUUUUAUUUUUUUAAUAAAAACUUUAUAUAUAUCCUACCAAUUACG